GCCAGCAUGACAUAGUGGUCUGAGUGUUGGACUACAACUCAGGUGACCAGGGUUUGAAUCCCAGCUUGGCC
Non-coding RNA from Phrynosoma platyrhinos (Desert horned lizard), 71 nucleotides. The record is from the annotation of a GenBank genome assembly. Lineage: Eukaryota; Metazoa; Chordata; Lepidosauria; Squamata; Phrynosomatidae.